GGCAACUUUGGGAAUGGCUCUCGCAUAUCUUUCCUUUGAGAACAGGACGUCAUAGAGGGUGAGAACCCCGUUCAUGGCGAGAUGACCCAGUCCUAUGUAAAGUGCUUUCUAAGAGUCGAGUUGUUUGGGAAUGCAGCUCUAAGUGGGUGGUAAAUUCCAUCUAAGGCUAAAUAUUGGCGAGAGACCGAUAGCGAACAAGUACAGUGAUGGAAAGAUGAAAAGAACUUUGAAAAGAGAGUGAAAAAGUACGUGAAAUUGUUGAAAGGGAAGGGCUUGAAGUCAGACAUGGUAUUCAGUGAUCAACUGUCUUUCGGGACUGUGCACUCGCUGUUUACUGGGCCAGCAUCGGUUUAGGCGGUGAGAUAAAUGCAAGAGAAUGUGGCUCCGCUUUCGGGUGGAGUGUUAUAGCUUUUGUUCAUAUCACCAGCUUGGACCGAGGACCGCGCUUCGGCUAGGAUGCUGGCGUAAUGAC
RNAcentral lists this ribosomal RNA (472 nucleotides) under [Candida] sp. NCIM 3110. RNAcentral describes it as "eukaryotic LSU rRNA". It matches the Rfam family "Eukaryotic large subunit ribosomal RNA", at positions 157 to 638 of the family's 3401-position model. Lineage: Eukaryota; Fungi; Ascomycota; Dipodascomycetes; Dipodascales; Trichomonascaceae. The record is from RNAcentral.